Poecilia latipinna (sailfin molly) is the source of this 597-nucleotide long non-coding RNA. RefSeq lists it as uncharacterized. The transcript is spliced from 4 exons. NCBI's taxonomy places the organism in Eukaryota, Metazoa, Chordata, Actinopteri, Cyprinodontiformes, Poeciliidae. The record is from RefSeq and is a predicted model, not a curated record.
UCACAAUUUAUUUAAACCUGACCAGUUCUAUACCUGUUUAAGAAAUGUGUAGAUUAAAUGUCUGUUGUUAAAGUGCUUACAGAACUUGCAAACUUAUUACAGUGUAUACUAGCAUGCAAGAGGAAAUCAGCAGGCUUUGUGCUUAGAGGCAUUACACUUUGCAGUGACUAACUGCUCUAAAGAUAGCCCUUUAUGACCACUGAAACAUUCUUUAAUUAGACCAGAGGUAAGAAGAGGAUGUCAAAAGUCUCCUUGGCAGAGGAGGUACUUCUAAAGUCUUAGACUUUAUGGUUAGGUCUUUUGUAAUUCGGAGACAACCCAGCAAGCUUCAUUUGUUGUUAAUCUGGUAUUUAGUAAAGAUGAGUUUAACCGACGGUCCCAUUAAAGAAGAUGUGAUGGCGUGGGAGCCAAAAAAGUUAGCAGACUACAUGAGACAGCUCAAGUUAUUCGGCUGUGACAAUGUAGUGUUGAAGAGGGGCAUAACUGGAGCACAAUUUCUGCAUAUGAUCCAGCGUGAUCUUCAAGUGUUUCCAAUCACCUACGUCCCAAUACUUGCAAAAAUUCAAAGAGAUGUCAAUAAGCAAGAAAAGAGGAAGA